RNAcentral lists this ribosomal RNA (447 nucleotides) under uncultured bacterium. Its description in RNAcentral is "SSU rRNA". It matches the Rfam family "Bacterial small subunit ribosomal RNA", at positions 26 to 518 of the family's 1533-position model. The record is from RNAcentral.
AGAACGAACGCUGGCGGCAGGCUUAACACAUGCAAGUCGAACGCUCGUAGCAAUACGGGAGUGGCAGACGGGUGAGUAACGCGUGGGAACGUACCUUUCGGUUCGGAAUAACCCGGGGAAACUCGGGCUAAUACCGGAUACGUCCGCAAGGAGAAAGAUUUAUCGCCGAAAGAUCGGCCCGCGUCGGAUUAGCUAGUUGGUGAGGUAAUGGCCCACCAAGGCGACGAUCCGUAGCUGGUCUGAGAGGAUGAUCAGCCACACUGGGACUGAGACACGGCCCAGACUCCUACGGGAGGCAGCAGUGGGGAAUAUUGGACAAUGGCGAAAGCCUGAUCCAGCCAUGCCGCGUGAGUGAAGAAGGCCUUAGGGUUGUAAAGCUCUUUCAGCGGGGAAGAUAAUGACGGUACCCGCAGAAGAAGUCCCGGCUAACUUCGCGCCAGCAGCCGC